CCUAUUGUCAGAAACUCAAACAGGAAGUACCCGUGCUAAGGUAUAUUCAAUGCUGGUCUGACAAUCGGAAUCCAUGCUUCAAGAUUGUUUUGAUAACACGGACUGGGAUAUGUUCCCGGGUUGCCUCUGAGAAUAACAUUGACGUAUAGAGACGGACACGGUGACUGAGUUCAUCAGGAAGUGUAUAAGGGAUGACAAAGUGGAGUCGCAAUUCAACGGCUCAGCCACGAGACGCAUGUGGCAGGGACUCCAGACAAUCACGGAUUAUGAAGGGAAUAGCAGCCAUGACACGGACACCGACGUCUUUCUCCCGGACAAGCUAAACACCUUUGCCCGCUUUGAGGAUAGCACAGUGCUACCGACACAGCCCACUCCCUAGGACUGUGGGCUCUUGGUCUCCGUGGCCGACGUAAGUAAGGCAUUUAAGCGCGUUAACCAUCGCAAGGCUGCCGGCCCAGACUGCAUUCCUAGCCGAGGCCUCAGAGCAUGUGCAGACCAGCUGGCUGGAGUGUUUACGGACAUAUUCAGUCUCUCCCUAUCCCAGUCUGCUGUCCCCACUUACUUCAAGAUGUCCACCAUUGUCCCUGUAACCAAGAUAGUCAUUUAGUUCAGUUACCUUUGCUAUCGCCCCAUAGCACUCACUUCUGUCAUCAUGAAGUGCCAUGGGAGGCUAGUUAAGGAUCAUGUCACCUCCACCUUAUGUGACACCCUAGAGACACUUCAAUUUGCAUACCGCCCCCAAUAGAUCCACAGACGAUGCAAUCGCCAUCACACUGCUCUAUUCCAUCUGGACAAGAGGAAUACCUAUGUAAGAAUACUGUUCAUCGACUAUAGCUUAGACUUUAACACCAUAGUACCCUCCAAGCGCAUCAUUAAACUCGGGCCCCUGGGUCUGAAACCCCCCCCCCCUGAUGGGCUGCCCCCAGGUGGUGAAGGUGGGAAACAACACCACUACACUGAUUCUCAAUACAGGGACCCCAGAAGGGUGCAUGCUCAGCCCCCUCCUGUACUCCCUGCUCACCAAUGACUGCGUGGCCAUGCACACUUCCAACUCAAUCAUCAAGUUUGCAGACGACACAACAGUAGUAGACCUGAUUAACAACAAUGACGAGACAGCCUACAGGGAGGAGGUGAGGGUCCUGGCGGAAUGGUGCCAGGAAAUAACCUCUCUCUCAAUGUCAACAAAAUGAAGGUGCUGAUCGUGGACUUCAGGAGACAGCAGAGGGAGCACACUCCUAUCGACGGGACCGCAGUGGAGAAGGUGAAAAGCUUCAAGUUCCUCGGAGUACACAUCACUGACAAUCUGUGUGGUGAAAACAGCACCUCUUCAACCUCAGGAGGCUGAAGAAAUUCAGCUUAGCCCCUAUUACACAAUUGAAAGCAUCAUGUCGGGCUGUAUCACCGCCUGGUAUGGCAACUUCACCGCCUGCAACCUCAGGGCUCUCCAGAGGGUGGUGUUUCUUCCCAGCGCAUUUUAGUCAAUGCCACUCCAACAUUGCUCAUCCUAACAUAUUUCUUAAUUCCAUUCUUUUACUUUUAGAUUUGUGUGUAUUGUUGUGAAUUGUUAGAUACUACUGCACUGUUGGAGCUAGAAACACAAGCAUUUUGCUACACCGAUAAAUAUGUGAUUGUGACCAAUACUAUUUUAUUUUAAAGUGGCCUGUUAUUUUCUCCAGCACAAAGUGUACCUGUGUGAUGAUCAUGCUGUUUAGUCAGGUUCUUGAUAUGCCACACCAGAUUAUCUUGGCAAAGGAGAAACACUCACUAACAGGGAUGUAAACAAAUUUGUGCACAAAAUUUGAUAGAAAUAAGCUUUUUGUGCGUAUGGAACAUUUCUGUGAUUUUAAUUUUAUUUCAGUUGAUGAAACACGGGACCAACAUUUUUUACAUGUUGCGUUUAUAUUUUUGUAAAGUUUUUUUCUGCAGUGUCAAGUGGAAACAUAAGCAACCCUGUUAUACUAGCUAGUAGUAGCUAGUGGAAGUAAGUUAGUCCCAAAGCUACCAGCUACAGUCAGAUUUCUCCAUUAAUUGAUGUAGCUAGCUUAACUAGAUAUUCUAGCUGGCAGAUGGUGCUUAUUGACUGAGUAAUAAUUAACUGCAAUUACUGUAAAUGUUUAGCUGUCUGGCACUUUGCAUAGCUAACUUAGCUAUUGCUUACACAUCUAACACAACAAUAUCAAUUUAAGCUACAGUCAUUGCUUGUGUGUGUGAGUUCUGAAUGUUCCCGCAGGAGAAGGGCACAGUGUUGCAUUUGAGCAGGUCAUCAUGAACUUCGUGUAGGUGCAUCAGCCAAUACAAACCAUUCACACAGUUCAGGCACUCAGCCCUAUCCAGUGGACAUGAUGCUCUCAAAGACCUGCUCUACCGCUUCCUACAACACCCUGAUGAGAAGCAAUAAGACUGGCCUCAUGACUGUCUGCAUAUCUCUCUAACCUUGCUGUACCCUACUGUGCUGAGACAAUAUGACUGUAGAACACUUUUACACUAUUUUAAAUGUAUUGCUCAACAGUCAUUAUUGAUCUCUCUCUACCUCUCUCUACCAUACUCACAGUUCACUCACUGAUGGUGUGUAGGCUGGGUGAUGGCACCUGCAGGCCUGUUUGAGGGACAACUGGACAGAACAUCUCAGAAUGCUUGGACCUCAGCUGAGACCGUUCUUUCUGUUCCCGUCCUUCAAAGGAAAGCCCCUUCUUUACACUUGCGGUUAGGCAUGAUGCUCUCAAAGUGUCUCUCUCAUGUUGUGUGUUAUUAUCUAUAGAUGUCUCCAAGACACUUUCAAAUAGUUUGCCUGUGAAUGGUUGUCCACUGUCAGGCUAUUUACUUGUAACCUUUUUAAAAUACUGCUCCCCUCUCACAGAACUGCCCUGUGCUCUCUCUCUCUCUCUCUCCAGGAUACAUGAGGUUGAAGUUGCUUUGUUGAUGGCACCCCUUCAUCCUAAGUUCUGCUCACUCUUGUUCAACUACUCUUUGAUUAAAUCAGUUUAAUUCAGUGUUUAAAAUGUGCUUCAAGUGUGUUUUUUACUGAAAGUUGACAAGGCACUUUAUGA
RNAcentral lists this long non-coding RNA (3047 nucleotides) under Salmo salar (Atlantic salmon). Its description in RNAcentral is "lncRNA (ENSSSAG00000097449.1)". Lineage: Eukaryota; Metazoa; Chordata; Actinopteri; Salmoniformes; Salmonidae. The record is from RNAcentral.